RNAcentral lists this ribosomal RNA (684 nucleotides) under uncultured bacterium. RNAcentral describes it as "bacterial SSU rRNA". It matches the Rfam family "Bacterial small subunit ribosomal RNA", at positions 17 to 750 of the family's 1533-position model. The record is from RNAcentral.
UCCUGGCUCAGAACGAACGCUGGCGGCAGGCUUAACACAUGCAAGUCGAGCGCCCCGCAAGGGGAGCGGCAGACGGGUGAGUAACGCGUGGGAAUCUACCCUUCACUACGGAACAACUCCGGGAAACUGGAGCUAAUACCGUAUACGUCCUUCGGGAGAAAGAUUUAUCGGUGAUGGAUGAGCCCGCGUUGGAUUAGCUAGUUGGUGGGGUAAUGGCCUACCAAGGCAACGAUUCAUAGCUGGUCUGAGAGGAUGAUCAGCCACACUGGGACUGAGACACGGCCCAGACUCCUACGGGAGGCAGCAGUGGGGAAUAUUGGACAAUGGGCGAAAGCCUGAUCCAGCCAUGCCGCGUGAGUGAUGAAGGCCCUAGGGUUGUAAAGCUCUUUCACCGGUGAAGAUAAUGACGGUAACCGGAGAAGAAGCCCCGGCUAACUUCGUGCCAGCAGCCGCGGUAAUACGAAGGGGGCUAGCGUUGUUCGGAAUUACUGGGCGUAAAGCGCACGUAGGCGGACUAUUAAGUCAGGGGUGAAAUCCCGGGGCUCAACCCCGGAACUGCCUUUGAUACUGGUAGUCUCGAGUCCGGAAGAGGUGAGUGGAAUUCCGAGUGUAGAGGUGAAAUUCGUAGAUAUUCGGAGGAACACCAGUGGCGAAGGCGGCUCACUGGUCCGGUACUACGCUAGU